UACGUAGGGUGCAAGCGUUGUCCGGAAUUAUUGGGCGUAAAGAGCUCGUAGGCGGUUUGUCGCGUCUGCUGUGAAAACCCGAGGCUCAACCUCGGGCCUGCAGUGGGUACGGGCAGACUAGAGUGCGGUAGGGGAGAUUGGAAUUCCUGGUGUAGCGGUGGAAUGCGCAGAUAUCAGGAGGAACACCGAUGGCGAAGGCAGAUCUCUGGGCCGUAACUGACGCUGAGGAGCGAAAAGCGUGGGGGAGCGAACAGG
RNAcentral lists this ribosomal RNA (255 nucleotides) under uncultured bacterium. RNAcentral's name for it is "partial 16S ribosomal RNA". It matches the Rfam family "Bacterial small subunit ribosomal RNA", at positions 524 to 776 of the family's 1533-position model. The record is from RNAcentral.